This 3535-nucleotide long non-coding RNA is filed under the name Salmo salar (Atlantic salmon). RNAcentral describes it as "lncRNA (ENSSSAG00000084201.1)". The record is from RNAcentral. Lineage: Eukaryota; Metazoa; Chordata; Actinopteri; Salmoniformes; Salmonidae.
AUUUUAUCCUAUUAUAAUUCAUGGUAAUGCUUAUUGAAAUAACAUAUAAAAAAUCAACCUUACUGUAUUAUUGAUUUCUGCAUUGAGAAUAUUCCAAGUAGGGUUUUUAAUUUUCUUGCCUUCAUUGAUCAGAUUCCCUGAUAUCUGAGACGAAACCACGUUUUGUUUUGGCACUUAUAUUUUUUUAUUAGAAAAGUGUCAGUUGAAUGGUCGAUGUCAGUCAGACAACCAUAUGUCUUAGGAAAUACUAGACUACUACUAUCAAGAGCUGGAGAAGAGCUUGGCUGUGUGGUAUGGUAGUAUAUCCUACCUUGUGGAAAUAGCCUUUCAACCUUAAGUCCUUUUGAGUAGGACACAAGGAAGGGCCGCUUGUCCUUCUUCAGCUAGAGGGUUUGAAAACAAAACCUCUUGGUUGUCUUACCUAGAUAUUAUUUCUGCCUUUCCUAUAACAAAACCAUGCUGUUUCUUAGAUCUUAGCUCAAACGAGAAGGCUUCUCAUAAUCACUAUUAAGGAUGGAAAAUUCCAGAAACUUGGAAGAUCCAAUUGGGACUUAUGGAAAAACCUGGUAAUUUUGGGAUCAUUUCCAGAAUUUUCCAGUCCUAACCACUAUAGCUCUUUGCUCUUUUUCUCCCUAGUUUAGGAAGAGCUUAACUCAUCAAUCAAAUGUAUUUAUAAAGCCCUUCUUACAUCAGCUGAUGUCACAAAGUGCUGUACAAAAACCCAGCCUAAAACCCCAAACAGCAAGCAAUGCAGGUGUAGAAGCACGGUGGCUAGGAAAAACUCAUGUUCCUUGUACCAGCACAGAGAGCACAGGUAGGGCUGCAGCAGUGACAACUGAACAGAACCAAAUACGAGCCUCUUGACUUGAACAGAUACAACACCACCAUAAUCCAAGGGACCAUGUAACAUCAUGCUCGUAAAUGUAUUCCUCCAACUUCACUUCUUUUAUCCUAAACAUGGCUAAAAUCAAGUGCAAACACAAUCACAUCAAGCAGUUCAUUAGAUAGGGCAAAGGGCAGAGUUUAGCUCAAGUUCCGGAGGGGAAAAGAGCGAGAGAAUAAAUCUGGGAAAAGCCUACAAACGGCUCUAUGUGCACUCUGGGUAAUGUUUCCCGACAUAACCUAAAUGGCUAGUGAGUGUAAUGUAAAGGAGUUGCCAGGGUGAUGAACAUGACAUCAGCACUAUGAACUAACUCUCCCUACUCAUCUCUCUGCCUGAGGGAGAUAACACACAUAUUCACCCACAGAAAGAGAAAGAAAAGGUUUUUUAACACCAAACUAUGACCAUUUCAAAGAUUUUAGUUGUUGUGAUGUUCUGAACCACACUUGAGGAAACGUUGCCAGUCACACGAACUCUACAUCCCCAGGAGCCAUACCCAAACGCGUUUUUCGUCAGGAAGUUGUUCUGGAGGCAGCUCUGCAGAGUGGUCACUAGCUGGCACAGCCACAAAGUCAUAACAUUAACACUAACCUUAACCACACUACUAACCCUAAUGCCUAAUCCUAUCCUUGAAUUAAGACCAAAAAUGUAAUUUUAGUUUUCAUGGAUUUUUCCAAUAUAGCCAACGUUGACUUUCCAGCUGGCCUAAGGGUAAAUCGCUCAGUUCUGCCUCUAGGACAAGACUCAUGAAAAUAAGCGUCAACCUGCUACCCAAACAGAAGAUUACAACACCCGUUCUCAAAUGUUUCUCGUGUUUCCCUGUUGCUUUUUCAGUCAAUGUGACCGCCCCAUACAGUGGUUCAAAUCUGUUUCUUUUGUAAACAGAUUGUAAAAAAGACAUAGCGAAUGAGAAAGUAUUGUUUUUUUGCUUUAUGAUUCUUUACAUAUAUAUAUCAAUCACUGAAUUGUAUUGCCUAGCUUAUUUUUCUAUUCAUAUGUGUGACAAGGUGGACAGAAGAGGGAAGGACGUAUACUCCCAGGUUGUUUGUGUGUUGAUUUGACUAUGUUGUUGUCAGAUUUUCUCUGGUGUUAUUGGUUGGUCUUGGUCUGUACCAUGUGCCAUUUAUUCUGCAGGGGGAGUCAAAGUUGAUCCUACCCCUGCUGUAUCACAUUGCUACUAUGAUGCCCCCCCCUCUCCCCCAUCGUCAGCCGAAAGUGCAGUAGCCCAAUCACAUACAGUGGCUUAAGAUCAGGACUCAACAUACUGAGUUUUCCUUUUGACUUUGCUGAUCUCUCAAAAUAACACUUCCCCAAAAUUAGACAAACAUACACUUUUAGUGCUGUUCUGUUUUACUAAGUAGAAUGUUCCAGUCUAGCAAUGUGUCAGACACCUCCUAUUGGAGCGGACACACAAGUGCUAGAAGGAGGGGAGCAUAUGGUGUUUCGGGGGUUGAAAAAGGAUCAUCCCACAAACAUGCAGGAAGCAAUGUGUUCUGGGUAUUGUUUGCAUGCUUACAAAGUAAAACGCCCUUCCAUCCGUCCAGUCAUUGUUUCCCAUCCAUGUUAGAACAUUUACAUAUCUACAUGGUCAAAUGCUUCUGUAUUAUAUUGCACUACAAUGUAACAGCGUUAUUGCUUAAUGUUUAGUCCAUAUAAUAACCUUAGAGUGCUGGUCGAUGCCAGGUCAUAACCUUGAUGUCUGGGCUCCAGGUAGAAGCUUCCCCUUAGGCACAGAUCUAGGAUCAGCCUCCAACUCCAAUCCUACUUAACCAUUAGGGGGUGAAACACAAAACUGGCCUUAGAUCAGUGUCUCUAAAGGCAUCAUACCUACCUUCCGCUUUGUCUGAAGAUGGUGAUUAGUUAGAGGAAUUUCCUUUCUCAAAGAACUUCCUGACUUUAGCAGGAGAGGCUCAUGGGAUUGGUACCACUGCUGACCGUAACGCUGAGUCAAGCACCAGCGUCGCUAUAAAUAUCAUAUUACCGCCAUUUUGUAGAAUGAUGUCUAUAGUGAUGUCACCACUAGCACCACCACAGCCACCUCUCUCACCCUAUCGCAAAAAACACAUCUGUUCUGCGGUGUCACACAGUUUACAGACCUGAAGGGACAGCAAACACGGCAACGUUGAGACAACGCCGUGUGGCGGUUGUGUGUUAGCUGGGAGUCUUCUAUAGUGUGUGGUGAUGAGAAUUUGAGCAAAGAAAAUGUGUACUUUUAUUUUUGUUAAGACCAUUGUUGUCCAGAGUCACAGGUUAGCUGAUGGUUUGGAGAUUGAGAGAAUUUGAUAAAGAUUUUUCUAUGUAUUUUGUCAUUUGUUUUCGUUCUCAGAAAAUGAAACAGAUGGCCGAAAAGUGAUUUUAAUUGUUCAGUCAGUCCUCUCUUUGUAAAGAAGGUACAACAUAUCUUUUUAAUUUAUUCAGAGAUUUGUUCAUUUUUUUCUUUCAAUCUACAUCCUCCGCGAAAGUUUCAUCAUAAUUAUAUUGUUUUUAUAUAAACAAACAUUGCUGUUUUUAGAGUGCAAUUAAAGUGCAAUUUUAAUGUAAGUUCCGAAAGGUCAUUUCCGGGGAUGCAAUCCCUUUUCUCUCCCAGAUGUUAAAGAUCCAACAGAGAUCAAUCAUGAUAACAAUAAAACAUGUCAUACUGUGAAGGUUUCUGAA